RNAcentral lists this ribosomal RNA (253 nucleotides) under uncultured bacterium. RNAcentral describes it as "partial 16S ribosomal RNA". It matches the Rfam family "Bacterial small subunit ribosomal RNA", at positions 524 to 776 of the family's 1533-position model. The record is from RNAcentral.
UACGUAGGUGGCAAGCGUUGUCCGGAAUUACUGGGCGUAAAGAGCGCGCAGGCGGUCGUUCAAGUCGCGUGUGAAAGCCCCCGGCUCAACUGGGGAGGGUCACGCGAUACUGAUCGACUCGAAGGCAGGAGAGGGAAGUGGAAUUCCCGGUGUAGUGGUGAAAUGCGUAGAUAUCGGGAGGAACACCAGUGGCGAAGGCGACUUCCUGGCCUGUUCUUGACGCUGAGGCGCGAAAGCUAGGGGAGCAAACGGG